Molecule: ribosomal RNA, 445 nt
Filed under: uncultured bacterium
Lineage: Bacteria
Description: bacterial SSU rRNA
Rfam family: Bacterial small subunit ribosomal RNA
Source: RNAcentral
GUGAGGAAUAUUGGUCAAUGGGCGCAGGCCUGAACCAGCCAAGUAGCGUGAAGGAUGACUGCCCUAUGGGUUGUAAACUUCUUUUAUAUGGGAAUAAAGUUUUCCACGUGUGGAAUUUUGUAUGUACCAUAUGAAUAAGGAUCGGCUAACUCCGUGCCAGCAGCCGCGGUAAUACGGAAGGUCCGGGCGUUAUCCGGAUUUAUUGGGUUUAAAGGGAGCGUAGGCCGGAGAUUAAGCGUGUUGUGAAAUGUAGACGCUCAACGUCUGCACUGCAGCGCGAACUGGUUUCCUUGAGUACGCACAAAGUGGGCGGAAUUCGUGGUGUAGCGGUGAAAUGCUUAGAUAUCACGAAGAACUCCGAUUGCGAAGGCAGCUCACUGGAGCGCAACUGACGCUGAAGCUCGAAAGUGCGGGUAUCGAACAGGAUUAGAUACCCCAGUAGUCC